AGUGAACGCUGGCGGUAGGCCUAGCACAUGCAAGUCGAACGGCAGCACAGUAAGAGCUUGCUCUUACGGGUGGCGAGUGGCGGACGGGUGAGGAAUACAUCGGAAUCUACUUUUUCGUGGGGGAUAACGUAGGGAAACUUACGCUAAUACCGCAUACGACCUACGGGUGGAAGCAGGGGAUCUUCGGACCUUGCGCGAUUGAAUGAGCCGAUGUCGGAUUAGCUAGUUGGCGGGGUAAAGGCCCACCAAGGCGACGAUCCGUAGCUGGUCUGAGAGGAUGAUCAGCCACACUGGAACUGAGACACGGUCCAGACUCCUACGGGAGGCAGCAGUGGGGAAUAUUGGACAAAGGGCGCAAGCCUGAUCCAGCCAUACCGCGUGGGUGAAGAAGGCCUUCGGGUUGUAAAGCCCUUUUGUUGGGAAAGAAAAGCAGCAGGUUAAUACCCCGCUGUUCUGACGGUACCCAAAGAAUAAGCACCGGCUAACUUCGUG
This 492-nucleotide ribosomal RNA is filed under the name uncultured bacterium. RNAcentral describes it as "partial 16S ribosomal RNA". It matches the Rfam family "Bacterial small subunit ribosomal RNA", at positions 29 to 507 of the family's 1533-position model. The record is from RNAcentral.